CAGCAGUGGGGAAUAUUGCACAAUGGGGGAAACCCUGAUGCAGCAACGCCGCGUGAGUGAAGAAGUAUUUCGGUAUGUAAAGCUCUAUCAGCAGGGAAGAUAAUGACGGUACCUGACUAAGAAGCUCCGGCUAAAUACGUGCCAGCAGCCGCGGUAAUACGUAUGGAGCAAGCGUUAUCCGGAUUUACUGGGUGUAAAGGGUGCGUAGGUGGCAGUGCAAGUCAGAUGUGAAAGGCCGGGGCUCAACCCCGGAGCUGCAUUUGAAACUGCGCGGCUAGAGUACAGGAGAGGCAGGCGGAAUUCCUAGUGUAGCGGUGAAAUGCGUAGAUAUUAGGAGGAACACCAGUGGCGAAGGCGGCCUGCUGGACUGUUACUGACACUGAGGCACGAAAGCGUGGGGAGCAAACAGGAUUAGA
This 416-nucleotide ribosomal RNA is filed under the name uncultured Eubacterium sp. Its description in RNAcentral is "bacterial SSU rRNA". It matches the Rfam family "Bacterial small subunit ribosomal RNA", at positions 349 to 782 of the family's 1533-position model. Lineage: Bacteria; Bacillati; Bacillota; Clostridia; Eubacteriales; Eubacteriaceae. The record is from RNAcentral.